RNAcentral lists this long non-coding RNA (235 nucleotides) under Mytilus galloprovincialis (Mediterranean mussel). Lineage: Eukaryota; Metazoa; Mollusca; Bivalvia; Mytilida; Mytilidae. The record is from RNAcentral.
CUUAUUUACUUUAAUGUACUACUGCAACAGUUUGUCAUCGCAACUCCUCUCAAACCACACAACAGAAUUUCAUGAAACUUUGUAGAUAAUAAGGACAUACUAUGUAGUUGUGCAUAUCGACGGGAAAUUGCGAUGCAAUUUUUUUUCUAGGAGUUACGCCCCUUUGAACUUAUUUACUUUAAUGUACUACUGCAACAGUUUGUCAUCGCAACUCCUCUCAAACCACACAACAGAA